Molecule: transfer RNA, 71 nt
Filed under: Danionella translucida
Lineage: Eukaryota; Metazoa; Chordata; Actinopteri; Cypriniformes; Danionidae
Also listed under: 1 other name
Rfam family: tRNA
About the family: Transfer RNA (tRNA) molecules are approximately 80 nucleotides in length. Their secondary structure includes four short double-helical elements and three loops (D, anti-codon, and T loops).
Source: Rfam by way of RNAcentral
UUUUCUGUGGCUCACUUGGUAGAGCAUUGCGCUAACAACACAAAGGUUGAGAGUUCAUAUCCCCGGGAAAG